Molecule: long non-coding RNA, 433 nt
Filed under: Apteryx rowi (Okarito brown kiwi)
Lineage: Eukaryota; Metazoa; Chordata; Aves; Apterygiformes; Apterygidae
Description: lncRNA (ENSARWG00000014522.1)
Source: RNAcentral
GGGAAAGCAUAUUUUUUUUCUUUUACAAAGCCAGAACCUGGAACAAAUUGUCCAAGGGAAUAAGUGUUUGGUGGGAUGAAUAGUGUUUGGAGUGAAGACAAACGGCAAAAGAGAGGCGAGACCAUGAAAGCUGUUCUUCUGCUCCACGUGAAUGUUACCACUUGUUCACUGUUCCACGAUGAACUCCGUCAGAACAGCGAGUUACUGGGAAAAGUCCUCCGUGCUGAGAAAGACGCACAUGUCACUGCUGAGUCAGAAGCUGGCAACGGUCAUAUCACCUAGAGGGAGAAAUACGUGUGAACUGCACUGAGGAUUAAAAGCCCCAAGAACAUAAGAAAUAAUAUCAGUACUCAAGUGAUUUGUAUCAGUGAAGAUCAGACAGUAAGUAAGUUUUUUCUACCAUUUUUCUAGCCCUUCUGGGCUUCCAUUUGGG